This is a long non-coding RNA of Tupaia belangeri chinensis (Chinese tree shrew), 424 nucleotides long. RefSeq lists it as uncharacterized. Lineage: Eukaryota; Metazoa; Chordata; Mammalia; Scandentia; Tupaiidae. The record is from RefSeq and is a predicted model, not a curated record. The transcript is spliced from 3 exons.
CGAUAAUUGGUUUAUAAAUAGAGUUUAUGAUUCAGGGAAUUCAGAGAGGCUGUUGUCCAGGGAUAAGCAAGAUCUGCCUAGCUGUGAAGAAUCUGAGGUUUUACCCUACUUAAAAGAUAACAUGCUUGCCUGACACGGUUUUGUGGUUGCUUGCAGAGGACUUUCCUUGAGGCAACACAAAGUGGAACAACGGAUCUGCACAGGCACUGGAUUGUAUUACAAGAGUGAAACCUGAAGAUUAGUGAUACCGGAUUUUCCAUAAUGGGCCAUAAUCAUGGCCACCCUUUUCUCCAGAGGGAGAUAGUACUGUCUUCCAAGGCUAUAAACAGACUUGCCAUUUCCCCUGAGUAAGAUACUAUGACUGUCUUCUAAGGCUAUUUACUCUACAAGCUUUUAUGAAAAGAUUGUCCAAAAAAAAAAAAAA